This 253-nucleotide ribosomal RNA is filed under the name uncultured bacterium. RNAcentral describes it as "partial 16S ribosomal RNA". It matches the Rfam family "Bacterial small subunit ribosomal RNA", at positions 524 to 776 of the family's 1533-position model. The record is from RNAcentral.
UACGUAGGGUGCGAGCGUUAAUCGGAAUUACUGGGCGUAAAGCGUGCGCAGGCGGUUCGUUAAGUCAGAUGUGAAAGCCCCGGGCUCAACCUGGGAACUGCAUUUGAAACUGGCGGGCUUGAGUGUGGCAGAGGGGGGUGGAAUUCCGCGUGUAGCAGUGAAAUGCGUAGAUAUCGGGAGGAACACCAGUGGCGAAGGCGACUACCUGGCCUGUUCUUGACGCUGAGGCGCGAAAGCUGGGGGAGCAAACGGG